GUUUGUUAGGUUCAGGUGCACAAGGUGAGGUGAAGAACAGACGCACACUCACAACACACACCCCGCAUGGAGUACGUGAAUUACCUGAGAUAUGGUUUGUCUCAUUUCAGUGACCCUGCUCUUCUCAGCUAUAUAUCCUACUCCUGAGCUCCCAGUGUUUGCCAGUUCCAUUGUGACCACUGCCCUACCCCUGGUCGGAGUCUCAUCGCUUGGUGGUGCCCACUGAUGCUGUGGAUGGAUCUGUGUGGACCAGGAGACAGCCAUGGACAGAGCCACUUGGGGACUUUCACACCAUCACAGAUCUGCCAUUUCAUCUGUCAGCUUCUGACAGCAAAGAAUUAGUGUCUAUAAUGACCUUAGAAACUACACUGACCUAAUAGUUCCUCAUGGGCCAUUGAUUGCUGUUGUAGAAAGGACAUUAAUCAGUUACAGUUACAUUAUUUACUGUUUAUUGUCACCCAAAUGAGGAUAUGUUAUCUUCUGAGCCUGGUUCCUCUCAAGGUUUAUUCCUCAUAUCAUCCCAGGGAGUUUUUCCUUGCCAGCAUCACCACAGGCUUGCUCAUUAGGGAUAAAAUAAAAUAGUUUAUUAAUUUAAUUUAAUAAUUUAUUCUUAUUUCUAGGUAUUUAGUUAUUUUUUAAAAUAAUUUUAUUUUCAUUUUUCCCCUCACCUUUCUCCGUUUCUCUUCUUUUGUAAAGCUGCUUUGAGACAACGUUCAUUGUAAAAGGUGCUAUACAAAAUAAAUUGAAUUGAAUUAGGGAGGAUGACACACACACUCUUUGUGUGCUUUGUUUGGGUGAGGAGCAUGCCUAGUCGGCUCUCGAGUGAUCUGGCUGUGUGCAUUGCUGGAGAUUCACUCCUCGCAAAUCCGAUCCUGUGUGGUUUUGUUUGUUUGUUUGUCUAUCUACGCUUCACAGAUAGAGUUAGCGGAAGCAGAACAAGAGACGGGUCUUUCCCUUUCUCUUGUCCGCUCUCCUGACUCCGAUGUCCGCAUUUUGGCUCCGGGAGCUCACUCUGCGAUUUCUACUGACCCGGAAGUGGAUAUAUAUUUUUCUACAUAGUAGGCAAUGAGGGGAAUCCCUCCGUUGAUUUGCCACCACAAUCCGUGGCAUCCGAGGAGCUUCUCGAUGUAAUAAUGCGUGCUGUGUGUAAGUAUCAUCAUGCAGACAGUUGCCAUUUUUUCCAGACCUCCAUGCUGAGGUAUUGAGGUCCUGGAAGAACCUACAGUAUAUUUGGUGCACCUUUUUUUCCCCCGCCUCCUCUAAUUAUUCAGCCAUUAUGGAGCUGGAUAUACAUGGUUAUGGUUAAGGUGGAAGAGACGCUUGUGAGCUAUCUCUCCACUAAAUCACUGGCAUGGAGGAGGCUGGCACUCCCUUCUAAAACAUAUAAAGACACUUCAGCCCUUGGGGGGAAGGCCUACAUGGAUCAAGAUCAAGACUCUGGCUUUUACAGAAGUCCCAAGAGAGACAGGGGACUAUGUCCAAUUUUGGGCCUGCAAGCUCUGAGCUCUGCCCUAAUGACGUUCAGGUUCAUUGUUCAGAUCAGGUCCGAGGACUGGUUUGUGACAGUAGACCUCAAGAAUGCCUAUUUUAUAUAGGUAUUCAGCCAGAACACAGGAAUUUCUCCAGGUUUGCUUUUGGGGGUGAAGCUUACCAGUAUCGGGUUAUUCCUUUCGGUCUGGCCUUGUCACCGCACACUUUUAUGAAGUGGAUGGAUGCUACCCUGGCACCGCUGCGUCUCCAGGACAUCCAUGUACUUAAUUUCCUGUAUAACUGGCUCGUCCUGGCACAGACUUAGGCCAUGGCAGCCAGUCAUCGGGAUGCUGUGCUUGCCUAUAUAAGGCUCUAGGUCUCAGGAUGAACCCAGAGAAGUGUGUACUUUCUCCUUCUCAGAGAACCACCUUCUUGGGGGUAACUUUGGAUUCCACUGCGGUGCUGGCAUGUCUAUCUCCUGCUUGGGUGGCUUCCAUACUGUUAGCAGUGAAUGCUAUUCAGCUAGACUGAAGCCUCUCUGUCACUGAGGUGCAGAAAGUGCUCGGCCUCAUGGUGGCAGCAACCAGCGUUAUCCUUCUGGGUCUGAUUCACAUGAGGCUAUUCCAAUUCUGGCUCAGAGAUGCGGGCUUUUUAUCCCUAUGGGCAUCCCCUCAGUGCCAUAAGGGUUAUGCACUUCAUACCCUUCUUAUGGGGAAGACCCUGGUUUCUGACCUUGGGUCCCACUCUAGAGGCAUGUCAUCAUUGUGGGACUCCUUUGAUGGAUGCCUCACUUUUGGGUGAAGUGUGGAAGCUCUGGGUCUGGCCCCUGAGGGGUACCAGUACCUAGAGGCAGGCCUCUCAUUAGAGAUUGUGGAGACUCUGCUGAAUGCUAGGGCACCCUCCACUAGGAAGCUGUAUGCUCUAAAGUGGAGGCCUUUUAGUCUCUGGUGCACUCAGUGCGAGCAGGAGCCAGUACACUGCCCAGUCGGUACAGUGAUAAGAUUCCUAGAGUCUCACCUUUCUCGGGGCCUAUCCCCCUCUACUUUAAAGGUGUAUGUGGCCGCCAUUGCUGUGAACCACUCACUUGUCCUUGGUGCCUCCCUAGGUAGGCACCGUCUGGUCUCUCGCUUUCUGCACUGGGCCAGGUGGCUGAGGCCUUCCUGCAGACCACGCCUCCCCUCCUGUGACCUCUCAGUGGUCCUGGAUGGGUUGCUGGAAGCCCGGUUUGAGCCCAUGGAGUAAACCUCAGAGAAGUUUCUGAGCCUUAAGACGGCUCUGCUUUUAGCCUUGGCUUCCCUUAGAUGGGUAGGGGAUCUGCAGGCUCUGUCGGUUGCCCCUGCCUGCCUGGAGUUUGCCCCUGGCAUGUCCAAGGCUAUCUUGCACCCCAGGGCUGGAUAUGUCCCAAAGGCCUUCUGUCUUCUGCCCCAUGACUUGGCAGAACAGGAGAGGCUGCAUUUGCUCUGCAAAUGUCCCCCUCCUUAUCCGUCUGUUUUGGGAGCCAGAACAAGAGUAUUCCGGUGUCCAAGCAGUGCUUGGCACACUAGGUGGUAGAGGCCAUUACCCAGGCCUAUGAGGCACGUGAUAUUGCUUCGCCUCUGGGGGCCUCAUCCAGUGCCCUGGCUAGGGGUGUUCACUGACAGGAGAUUUGUGCUGUGGCAGGCUGGUCCUCUCCGCACACCUUUAUCAGGUUUUAUAACCUGGACCUGGACCCCACUCCUGGGUCUCAGGUCCUUCAGGGCUAAUUGGUGUUCUGUUCCUGGUCCGCUCAUGCUCUCUCACAGCCCCUGGGACAGACAUCGAAUGGUGUGUGGUGGCAUGGGUAUUGAUGCUCCCAUAGGGUCAGUCAUGACGCAGCAUUGAGUUCCCUUGAAAGGGAACUAGAACAGGUUACAUAUGUAACCCGGUUCCCUGAGAAGGGAACGAGGCGCUGCAUUGCUGGCCACACCCCAAGCGUCCUCUCGCCCUUUCUUCAGACAAAAGGCAAGCUGAAUGGAUGUGAUGUAGAUGCCCUUAUAUGGACAUGCUGGCACGUAUUCCUCUGUCACAUGUCCUAUCCAAGCCAAUGAACACAGAGCUUCAGACACACUUCUUCAACAAAGUGUUCCCAUAGCGUCGGUCAUGAUGCAGCAUCUCGUUUCCUUCUUAGGGAACUGGGUUACAUACGUAACCUGUUGUAGUUUUACAUCACAUGCUUUAGUUUCUGUUUCAGAUUCCUCAAAAUAUUAAAAUGUUUGAACAAAUAUUUAAAUUAUAGUAAAAAAAUAAAUAAAUAAAUAAAUAAAUAAAAAAAAUAAACAUCUAGGCAUAAUUUCAAGAGAAAACCACAGAUGAGAAGCAGCGAUGAACCUAGGAAGAACACUGUAAUGGAAAUCCCAAAAAUAUUUCCUACAAUCUAAGACUUAUAUUUCAGGGUCUGCCAUAAUUAACAUGGAAAUUUAUUUAUUUUACAAUUUUUUAAAUCAACGGGUAUAUCAGAAAAUUGGGCAAGUGUCACUUCCCACUAAAGCCAUGCAAUUAUAAACCCCUUACCGUUCUUUUCAUCCAGCUGUUGAUUCUUUUUCUGCACUCGCUGCAGAUCUCCAAUCCUGUUAACCAGCCGCUUCUGAGUCUCGCUCAGAGUAUACUCUGUCUGUGUGUUAGGAAUCCUGCCAAAGUUACAGCAACAAGAGCAAGCUCAAGUAAAUGGAAUCAACUCACAACAUCUAACCAUGACAAAAUAACUGAUGUGAAUUAAUUCUUAAUUUGUGGCCAGGCAGAAUUCAUAUUUUUUAUUUAUAGUUGCUUAUACUGUAUAUAGGCUAAAAUAUAAAAUUUAAAUGAUCAAGUUAGUGUAAAACGUAACAUUGUGUUAACUCAGGUGUCAUGUAGUCUAUAAGUAAAAGUCACCUCAAGGUUGAACAUAUCAUCAGAAUAUAAAGAAGCCAGACUAAAAAAAAAAUACUUUUUAUGAUUUAAUACCACAGCUAAUAUCUGAAAUAUUGUCCAACAAUAUGCUGACUUUUUGUAUCAGGAUGCAUAUUAGAAAUGUUGUCUCCCUUAGACUGUAUUAAUUCACUUACUAUAACUUAAAUUAUUGAAAUAUUUGUACCAGGUGCAAAAAAUAGUCUUUUUAAAAAGUCACAUUGUUUAAAUAGCAAAGUACCCAGGAGUGAAACAAUUUGCUUGAGGUAACAGUUAAGCCCACAAUGACGUGAAGAAAUGGUCUGUUAUUCAAGGAAAAAUAAAAUAAAAUAAAAUUGCUUUUGAAUCUUUCUAUGUGAGCUUUCUAUGUGAAGGCAAGGCACUACAGCUUUUAGCUUAGAAAUUUUCUUUUUUAAAUUUUCUCCAAAGUUUUACUACUUAUUGUUAUAAACUUUCUCCCACUGUUAUUGAAAUACAUACAUUAGAGCAUUUAUCAUAUCAAAAUGUAUAUGACAUGGGACACCCCAAUAACUCACAGCACUCUUUCUCAUAUUUCUCAUAGUAGUUUGUGGUAUAGGAACAUAUAUUCCUCAUCCCUAUCACUUUGUGAAUGAGAUUAGAACAUGGAGUGAAGCUCAGACUUACUGGAGGGAGAAUUUCAAUGACCUGGCAACCAUCAACAACAUGGGAGAGAUGAAGAAGCUGAACCACACACUGAUGAAGGAAAAUGCAAAGAAAGCUUGGAUUGGUCUACAGGGAGAUGGACCUGGGAAAUAAAGUUGAUUGGCUUAUUGGCCGAUUUAUUGACUCGGGUAGCUCAUCUGAUGAAGCGGAGCCCACCAGCAAGACCAUAAAAUGGCAUCUACAUCACAUCACUCCAGCUUCUACUUGUCUGAAGGAAGUGCAAGUGGACACCCUGGGCGUGUCCAGCUAUGACACAGUAUUUUGUUCCCUUCUCAGGGAACUGGGUUACAUACAUAACCUGGUGUAGUUCCCUUUCGAGGGAACUCCAUGCUGCAUUAUAGCUGAUGCUAUGGGAAUGCCAAUACCAAUGCCUCCACACGCCAGGAGAUGUCUGUCCCAGAGGUCCUGAAAGAGCACAAAUGAGCCAGGAGCAGAGCAUCAUUAGCCCUGUAAGACCCAGGACACAGGAGUGGGGUUCAGGUCCAAGUUAUAGAACCUGAUAAAGGACCAACCUGCCACAGCAGAAACAUCCUGGGGGGAUUGCCCCUAGCCAGGGUGCUGGACAAGGUGAUACACCAAGUGGAGCGAGCUGUAAUCCCUAGACUUGAAGCCACACAAUGCACCUCAUAAGCAUAGGAGAUAGCUAACACUACCCAGCACAAGGUGCUGCUUGGAGACAAGAUUGCUUUUGUUGUGGCCACCAAAGCAGGUGAAAAGGGAAAGGACUGAUAUCUUGUGCUCGAGCAAUAGGCAUAAGUCCCAAGAACCUGAACUGGGCACAGGAGAUGCAGUCUCUCCUGCUCCACCAACUUGGUGUGUCUGCAGGAACUCUGGAGUGUAAAAAGCUCUCAGUAAGACAAAUCUGGUCCCGUAUUCACAAAGCUUCUUAGAAUUCUCUCAGAUAGCUCCUAUCUUAGCCUAAAAAGUCCUAGCUGGGAGUCCUAGACUAAAAGUGAUAUAGGAAACUUCUCAGAGCAACUCUGAGUAAGGAAAGUACAAAAACCUUUAUCUUAGUGAGGAGGUGUGGUUGACCCCGUUGCUAGGGAUGAUGCAGCAAUUCAAGAAGUGAUUGGAUGAUAAAAAAAAUCUGUAAAGGUCUUAAAAUGCGCUCUUAGAAUGGACAGUGAAAUCAUAAUGUCUGUAUAUAAAGAAAUUGUAUAAUCAUGAAUAAAGGCUGCUUUAUGCAAAGUUUCUGUUAUAGGCUAAAUAUCUUAAAGUUAAUUAAAACAGCCAAAUGUUGAAAAUGUGUCUACUUUUGAAGCAACCAAUUUGCAUGCAGUAAUUACUAUAUUUAUGUUCUUACAUUUAUUUACCAUACUGAUUUAAUUACUUGUAAUCAGCAUUUCAGAUUGAUGGGAGCAAAUUGGCUCACCUUUUACCAAUUUACAUGAUUGCAGAACAGUCUAUUUAAGUUGCACUUUUGGAUAGUAUGUAGCCAACAAUCCAAGAGAGAUGGAAGGAAGUAAAAGAACAAGAAAACCAAAUUUGACAGAAGAGCAGUGUUUACUUUUAGCUCAGUUAGUUGAAGAAAAUAAAGCAAUUUUAAAAGGUAAAUUUGGCUCUGGCAUCACAGCUCAAGGAAAGACCUGGGAGAAAAUAUCUCAGCAGAUAAACUCCUCAUUCCCUCUGGUUGUGUGCACCAGCGAGGAAUGUGAAAAGUGGUGGUAUGUGUUGCAGUCUGAAGCCAGGAGGUAGAUUGCAGUACACAAACGGGAUUCUUCAAGCACAGGUGAGUGAUAUUACAGUUUCUUACUAUAUCUGGUUUGGUUAAAUAUGCCUACAGAACUAUAUACCUAAGCUACUUUGUUUUUAUGUGGAGGACCACCCACUAAACAACUGUCUCAGGUAGUGGAAACUGUAUUUAAUGUACUUGGACACUUGGAAAUAUCUGUCACUGGGCUGAAGGAAGGCACAGACAGCUCAAUGAUCCAGCUUAUGGGAAUACAACAAAGCAUGGAGCCAUUAGAGGAACCGGGGCCAUCAAUGUUGCAGGUGUGCAACCCUCAGCCUCAGCCAGUGUUUCAGAUAAGCCUGCCUGCUGCAGCCACCCCAACACCAUCCCUGCUGGACAGAAAAUUGGAGAUCGAAACUGAUACCCUCACACAGCACAAAAAAGUUCUCUGUUUACAGGAGGAGUAUUAUAAGCUAAAAA
This is a long non-coding RNA of Hemibagrus wyckioides, 7207 nucleotides long. RefSeq lists it as uncharacterized. The record is from RefSeq and is a predicted model, not a curated record. The transcript is spliced from 4 exons. Lineage: Eukaryota; Metazoa; Chordata; Actinopteri; Siluriformes; Bagridae.